GAUGAACGCUGGCGGCGUGCCUAAUACAUGCAAGUCGAGCGAACAGACGAGGAGCUUGCUCCUCUGACGUUAGCGGCGGACGGGUGAGUAACACGUGGAUAACCUACCUAUAAGACUGGGAUAACUUCGGGAAACCGGAGCUAAUACCGGAUAAUAUAUUGAACCGCAUGGUUCAAUAGUGAAAGACGGUUUUGCUGUCACUUAUAGAUGGAUCCGCGCCGCAUUAGCUAGUUGGUAAGGUAACAGCUUACCAAGGCAACGAUGCGUAGCCGACCUGAGAGGGUGAUCGGCCACACUGGAUCUGAGACAAGGUCCAGACUCCUACGGGAGGCAGCAGUAGGGAAUCUUCCGCAAUGGGCGAAAGCCUGACGGAGCAACGCGGCGUGAGUGAUGAAGGUCUGCGGAUCGUAAAGCUCUGUUAUUAGGGAAGAACAAAUGUGUAAGUAACUAUGCACGUCUUGACGGUACCUAAUCAGAAAGCCACGGCUAACUACGUG
This 497-nucleotide ribosomal RNA is filed under the name uncultured bacterium. RNAcentral's name for it is "partial 16S ribosomal RNA". It matches the Rfam family "Bacterial small subunit ribosomal RNA", at positions 28 to 507 of the family's 1533-position model. The record is from RNAcentral.